ACCUUCGGGCCUCUUGCCAUCAGAUGUGCCCAGAUGGGAUUAGCUAGUAGGUGGGGUAACGGCUCACCUAGGCGACGAUCCCUAGCUGGUCUGAGAGGAUGACCAGCCACACUGGAACUGAGACACGGUCCAGACUCCUACGGGAGGCAGCAGUGGGGAAUAUUGCACAAUGGGCGCAAGCCUGAUGCAGCCAUGCCGCGUGUAUGAAGAAGGCCUUCGGGUUGUAAAGUACUUUCAGCGGGGAGGAAGGUGUUGUGGUUAAUAACCACAGCAAUUGACGUUACCCGCAGAAGAAGCACCGGCUAACUCCGUGCCAGCAGCCGCGGUAAUACGGAGGGUGCAAGCGUUAAUCGGAAUUACUGGGCGUAAAGCGCACGCAGGCGGUCUGUCAAGUCGGAUGUGAAAUCCCCGGGCUCAACCUGGGAAC
This 427-nucleotide ribosomal RNA is filed under the name Enterobacter cloacae. Its description in RNAcentral is "bacterial SSU rRNA". It matches the Rfam family "Bacterial small subunit ribosomal RNA", at positions 199 to 621 of the family's 1533-position model. RNAcentral also lists the same sequence under 1 other name. Lineage: Bacteria; Pseudomonadati; Pseudomonadota; Gammaproteobacteria; Enterobacterales; Enterobacteriaceae. The record is from RNAcentral.